Non-coding RNA from Hypanus sabinus (Atlantic stingray), 444 nucleotides. NCBI's taxonomy places the organism in Eukaryota, Metazoa, Chordata, Chondrichthyes, Myliobatiformes, Dasyatidae. The record is from the annotation of a RefSeq genome assembly.
AUGAAACGGUGGCAGAAGGACGAUACAAAAACCACCCAGUCUUUCCUGCCGCUCGACUGCUUCACCGGGGAAAGGAAACCUCGUGUCAUUGACCGGAGAUGUAAAGCGGCGCUUCAGAUAUUGACACAGGCUCAAAUAUCGAUCACCAGGGCUCCGACAAAACCUGUGCACUUUUACUGUGAUGUUCAACAAAUCGACUUUGCGGAAGCUGUUAUACAUUGGUACCGGCAGAGGCCGGGUGAAGGCCUGCAGCAGCUAUUGUAUUUUAAGAAUUCAUCCGACACGCAGAAGGAUGUGGCUGACGAACGAUUAAUUGCGAGCAAAGUACCUGAGACUCAAUCGUGCACUCUAUUCUUGCCGAAUGUAAGCGAGGAUGAUGCUGGCACCUACUACUGCGCUUACUGGCUACAUAGUGGAGAAAUGCGAAGGGAAGCCAGUACAUAA